AUACAAGCGUUGAAGAAGAGAAAGUACUCUUAAUGAUAUCUUUUCAGAGAGACUGUGGUCGGUGAGAACAGUCAAGACCAUUAAGAGGAAAUGGGGCUUCUGAGCUUCAAAUGACGUAAAUCGGCGUUAACGAUCAUAAGCUGACUUUUCCAAAGGAAAAGUAAUUAGGGUGGCACCGCGGUAUCAUUCGUCCCUUCC
RNAcentral lists this non-coding RNA (198 nucleotides) under Halobacillus mangrovi. Its description in RNAcentral is "T-box sequence". It matches the Rfam family "T-box leader". From Rfam's summary of the family: Uncharged tRNA acts as the effector for transcription antitermination of genes in the T-box leader family. T-boxes are found upstream of many aminoacyl-tRNA synthetase genes and some amino acid biosynthetic genes usually in Gram-positive bacteria. Lineage: Bacteria; Bacillati; Bacillota; Bacilli; Caryophanales; Bacillaceae. The record is from RNAcentral.